GCAACAGGAAACGAAUUUCCUCAUCGUCGCAGUGAAAGCGCGCCGAACGCCGAACUGGCGUCGACGCACCCGGCAACCAGCCUCGGUGUCGAAACGGCGAUCCGCCGUGCGCGUGUAAGCUCUCUUAUCAUCUGACGGUGCUGCAACGGUACACGACUGCGGAAAGGAACUCAACAAGCGAGACACGUGGUUUCUCGCUCACGAGAGAGAGAGAGAGAGAGAGAGAUGGGCGGGGGAGGGGGGCUUUCCCGUCGCAAGCUAGUAACUCCAGUCUCACCCUGCAGCUUCAACGCGUCUGCGUGCCACCAGACAACAUGCGACCAAGGUCGAACCCUUGCCUCCUCUUCGACCGAUCCCCCUCCCCCAUCUCCUUUUCUUCCCUACCAGUCGCCGAGCUCCAACGCAACGCCAACGGCAACCUAGUGGACUGUCCUGCUUCGAACGACUUGUUGCCAGGGGAGCGGACACGGGACGCGGGUGGCCCGUGCGCUCAAGUUCACGCAGGCAGGAUCGGAGGCGGAGGAACGUCUGUGCAAGAAAGUCGACGUCGCGUCUGGAAUGGUAUUACACCGGUGCGAAAGGGGAGGCAUGAGCGGGGACUGACGAGCAUUUCUGCUAACGCUUCAAGCCACACCACCGUGAUGGCAUCGGCAAGGUGCCGGCUCGAAGAGGGUGCAGAGGUUGCGAAGCGGCCGUCCCUGUAUGCACUCCCGUUGCCCAAGCUGGAUGCCCACGAAGGCGGUCUCACCAGAGCCAAGUCAAUAAUAAGAACACUGAUGUGGUUGAUGACUCCCCCGAAGCGGACCCUGAGCUUCAAGGGACGCCGUGACGAAGCGCUCUCAUACUAUUUUGACCGCCGGCAAUUUGUUAAGAAAACACGAACAAUUUGAGCACCUGGAAACAUUUUGCACUUAGCCCAUAUUGAAGUUGAAGCUCCUAUCGGGACCGGCGAGCUCGCGCGAAGCGGCACAAACGGCACAACCUAUAUAUGAGCGACCGUGCAUGGUCGGUGUC
This is a non-coding RNA of Dermacentor albipictus, 1014 nucleotides long. NCBI's taxonomy places the organism in Eukaryota, Metazoa, Arthropoda, Arachnida, Ixodida, Ixodidae. The record is from RefSeq and is a predicted model, not a curated record.